UACGCUCCGCAAGCUGGCUCUCUUCAGGUCGGCGACAACCGCAUAGUUCGGAUUCCAGGGGAAGCCGGUCGAAAUCCGGCGCUGACCCGCAACCGUAGGCGGUGGCCGGCAGGCCACCGCGAGUCGGAACACCUGGAUUCGUACGAGUUAGAGG
RNAcentral lists this non-coding RNA (154 nucleotides) under Embleya scabrispora. Lineage: Bacteria; Bacillati; Actinomycetota; Actinomycetes; Kitasatosporales; Streptomycetaceae. The record is from RNAcentral.